GGGGGGGGGGGGGGGAACAAGUAAGACAGAGAAAACACGCACUCACUCUCUCUAUAUCUAUCUCUGUGAUAUGCGGCUUCUAAUUUGAUUUUUUAUUUUUAAUGGUAAAAACUUUUCUUGUUUGUUUCUUAAUCUUUUAUUUGUGACGGUUGAUUGAUGAAUUAUGGAAUUUGAUGGGGGAACAAAUAAUGACAAAAGCAAUUAAGCAGACGGACAGCCACGUUUCGCUCUCUGUCCUAACGAAAAGUAUAGAAACGUUUCAGAUUUUCCUUUUGGUUCUGGCGUUGGAGUUUUCGCGUGACGCGACACGUGUCUAUUCCCACUUUUAGUAUUUUAAGAGACACACGUCACAUGAAUUUAGAAAAAAAAAAAAAACAAAACAAAUGUAAGUCUUGUUGUCUCUCUAUCACACCCUCAAAACAAUUUUUUUCUUCGUGUAAAAAGAAAAAUUAUUUUUGAUAAAAUGAUUGAAAAUUUUUUUUUGAUAAAAUAAUAUAUAUUGUUCAAUGGAAUCUAAAAUUAAACAAAAUACAGAGAACGUUAUUAGGUUUGGCCUAAUAAUAUAUAUUUUCGAGAUAAUCUUAAUAAAUUAAUUAACAAGCCCACACAGAAGCCUAAUUUUUUUUAAAAAAAAAAUCACGGGAAUAUCCUAUAAUUAAGGAAAUUUAAACUCUCAAUUUGAUGGAAUUAACAAGCCCACACAAACUCAUUUGUAGAGUUGUCGGCUUACUGAAAGCACAUGCUCCAACUUGAAAUCAAACGCGAGGUACGAAAGAGUGAAACACCAGAAAGUUGAAAUUCAACAAUCAAACAGAAUUAGAAAGUUCGAGGAUGACUUUCAAGCCACGUGUAGCCAAUCAGAUGAGAGUCGAGUUUUCAAAUCAAUCUGAUAGGAGUUUAGGCUAGAGUUAGGUCAGUCAGCUCCACAAUUAAUUUCCAUUAUUCAGUACCGAGUUUUAUUAACUGUCAAGUCAACCGUCAAGCUUUCGGCCAUGGAUUGCUGGGCCCAUUAUUAAAAAAUAAUAAUAAUCUAAUUCACUCAAAAUACUCAUCAAAUUUAUUGACCAAGGAAAAAUUUAGUUUGUUAAUUAUCAUGGAUUAAAUUUCCAUAAUUUUUUUUAUAGGGAAGUAUAAUUUUUUAUUAAUUCAACAUAAUGAAUACGUAUUUGAUUUUUGUUGCUAAUAAAUUUAGCCAAACAAUUGUUUCACAACAACUAUCUACAAUUAACUUAACUAAAGAAUGGAUAAUUACAAAACUUAAUUUGUUAUUUAUCAUAUAUUGGAUUAAAUCAACAUAAUUGGGUGAGUUUUGAACAACAAAAAACUUUCAUCAAUUUAGAAAUUGCAAGCAGAUGGAAAGAGAUCUCCCUAUCUUACCACUAAUGUAAGAUAUACCCCUCACAUGAACAGUGAAUGGAUCCCACAUAUAUACUGUUCAUGUAAAGGAGAUGUAUUUUACAUUAAUUGUAAGAUAAUGCUUCUCGAUGGAAAGUAGCUCAUUUGUUUUUCUAAUCUAACAGAAUUAACGUUGUCAAGGUACACAUGGUUAUCAUAAUGUUUUAAUAUGAGUCAAUAAUUUUGUACUUGAUAUUAUAUUAUCAUGACCCCUUUUAUGUGUGCUAUGAUUUUAUGGGAUCCACCACAUUCUUUAACAAACAGGCGAUCAUAACUAAAUCACUAUACAAACAAAAAAGUUGAAAAUUUUAUUAAUUUUCGCAAUUUGUUAACAUGGACGAUCGGGUAGCCCCUUUAAAAACAGACGGCAAAAGUCCUCUUACAAAACAAUAAUCUCAAUACAAAGUGGAAUCACACAUCACAAUAAUCUAAAAAUAUAUAUAUUUAAAAAAAAAAACUUGGUGAGUCAGUCACCUUUUGCUCGGCAUUGAUGGGCUUAAAAUUGUGAAGCCCAUUGAUGGUGAGGAACCGAGUUCACGUCUCAAUGAACUGAUCAUAUUACAUAGGGAUGGCAAUGGGGAGAGGAGGGGAGGGGACCAAUCUCCUCGUACUCAUUUUCGAUAUUUUACGUAUAUUCUCGUCCUCUCCCCGUCCCCGUCAGAAUUACUUGAGAGAAUCUAUAUCCUCUCCCCGAAUAAUAACAAGGGAUCCUCGAGGGUCCCCGAUCCCCGAAUAACUAAUAAAUAUUUUUUUUUGUUUUCGAUUUUGAGUUAAUCAUAUUAAAAUAAAAAAUUCAAAUAAAAGUAAAGUUUAAAAUAUAUCUUACAUUAAUAUCCAUUACAAAAGUCACAUACAUUAAAUUAGUAAGUAACGCAGCAUGCAAGGGAUACAAACUUCUUUUAUAAACUAUCAUGAAUAAAUUAAUAGUCUAAUACAAAAUUGUUACAAAUAAAAUCGAAUUUAGAUUCAAAAUUAACUUUUUCAAUGGUGGCGUGGACACUUUAUAAAUGUGGACUAUUCCCUUUACAACACAAUAGUUAAAUCGGAGCAAAUCAAGAGCAAAUAUUAGAUUAGAUAUUAAAAUUGUGAUUCACUGUAGGUAAUUAUAAU
Molecule: long non-coding RNA, 2505 nt
Filed under: Citrus x clementina
Lineage: Eukaryota; Viridiplantae; Streptophyta; Magnoliopsida; Sapindales; Rutaceae
Description: Citrus clementina (C. clementina) long non-coding RNA (CCLE_LNC006476)
Source: RNAcentral